AACACUGUCCGGGAUGUCGAAACGAGGACGAUGAGGUUCCACCAUGAACAAGUUCAGAAUGUCAGUGGGUCUGCCGGUGGCAGCGACGGUGAACUGCGCCGAUAACACUGGUGCGAAGAACCUGUACAUCAUUUCCGUGAAAGGGAUCAAGGGAAGGCUUAACAGGUUGCCUUCAACUUGUGUUAGAGAUAUGGUAAUGGCUACUGUGAAGAAGGGUAAGACAGUUCUCAGGAAGAAGGUUAUGUCUGCUGUCAUUGUUCGUCAGCGCAAGCCAUGGUGUUAGUUUCGCUCUUUCCGUCCAUCACUAGCCAAGGUUCAUUUGAGUUCGAGGUCACCAGUGAAGUCGGUUGUAGUGGAAUAGCUUAUUUCAGCUUGUCAUUGUCUCAGUCACUGCUCGUAACGAGUUUGAAGAUUACAAAGAAAGCAACCGUAGUGGAAGAACAUUGAUAUCAAUUUCAGGACUCUUUGUGUGGACUUUGCAGGUCGAGAAGAUGCAUAUGGCUGGUGAAAAAAUAUCUGAGGAUAUUCAAACUUUAGCUAUUGGCCCAUUAAUACAAGCAAAAAGAAUGACUGGCUAUAUAUGUGAUGGAGUUAGAUACUUAACAGAGUCUCAUGAUGUUAAGAGAAAAACUCAAAAUAGUGGUAUUAUGUUAAAGGCUAUCACUCAAAGUUAUGCAAGCACAAAAGAUAAAAAUCCCAUAUUGGCAGAGGUUUCUUUUUAUGGAAUCCUCACAGACAUAAUUGAGUUAUAUUAUUCCAAGAAUCUCAAGUUUGUAUUGUUUAAAUGUAAAUGGGUGAACAAUAGCAAGGGUCUUAUUGAGAAAGAUGAUUAUGGAUUUACUCUUGUGAAUUUUAAUCAUCUACUGUAUACAAGACAUCAGUUAUCAAAUGAACCAUUCAUCUUUGCUUCUCAAGCUCAACAAG
Solanum stenotomum is the source of this 924-nucleotide long non-coding RNA. RefSeq lists it as uncharacterized. Lineage: Eukaryota; Viridiplantae; Streptophyta; Magnoliopsida; Solanales; Solanaceae. The record is from RefSeq and is a predicted model, not a curated record. The transcript is spliced from 3 exons.